Long non-coding RNA from Gallus gallus (chicken), 463 nucleotides. Lineage: Eukaryota; Metazoa; Chordata; Aves; Galliformes; Phasianidae. The record is from Ensembl.
AGAGCACUGAGGAGGGGCGGCCCGCGGGGCUCAGGUGAGCCCCCUGAGGGCAGGGCAGGGCUGGGCUGCGCGGCCACAGACCGCGGCCACACCUCGGCACCCCGGAAAGCGGCCUGAGGGUGGUAGGGCGGUGCCCUGGAGGAAGGCUGCAGAGGUUCCAGAUGGACUCCCGUGCAGUGCUGGCAGUUGGCGUGCUGUAGCGGCGGUGAUGUCCCGUUUCCCGCCACUUGACCGAUCGUCUUCUCUCACAGUCUCCCGAAGAUGUGUUGUGCUCGUUCCCCCAUGCAUAAUACCUCUGCUCUGCGCUGUACGUCUGCUCGGUGUUCCUUCUGGAGCAGCAAGGCUUGAAGGUGCAGGUGGCCCAGGGCAUGGGUUGUAUGCUGCAGAUCCGUGUGUACUUCUUGGGAGGUUUUCUGUAGUUCAGCCUGUACAAGAAGGAUGCCAAAGAUGCUGUGAAGGCUGG